RNAcentral lists this ribosomal RNA (503 nucleotides) under uncultured bacterium. RNAcentral's name for it is "bacterial SSU rRNA". It matches the Rfam family "Bacterial small subunit ribosomal RNA", at positions 15 to 507 of the family's 1533-position model. The record is from RNAcentral.
GAUCAUGGCUCAGAGUGAACGCUGGCGGCAGGCCUAUUAUAUGCAAGUCGAACGGCAGCACAGCAGAGCUUGCUCUGUGGGUGGCGAGUGGCGGACGGGUGAGGAAUACGUGGGAAUCUGCCCAGUCGUGGGGGAUAACGUAGGGAAACUUACGCUAAUACCGCAUGCGCCCUUCGGGGGAAAGCCGGGGACCUUCGGGGCCUGGCGCGAUUGGAUGAGCCCACGUCGGAUUAGCUAGUUGGCGGGUAAAGGCCCACCAAGGCGACGAUCCGUAGCUGGUCUGAGAGGAUGAUCAGCCACACUGGAACUGAGACACGGUCCAGACUCCUACGGGAGGCAGCAGUAGGGAAUAUUGGACAAUGGGCGCAAGCCUGAUCCAGCCAUGCCGCGUGAGUGAAGAAGGCGCUCGGGUUGUAAAGCUCUUUUGUCCGGAAAGAAAAGCGCCGGGUUAAUACCCUGGUGUCCUGACGGUACCGGAAGAAUAAGCACCGGCUAACUUCGUG